AAUGCCCGAAGCAUGGUGCACCCCAAUGUGAUUUGUGAAGGUUGCAACGGGCCUGUGGUGGGAAUUCGCUCUAAGUUCAGUGUGUGCCCAGACAACAACCUGUGCAGAGUCUGCGAGGGGAAGGGCCUGCACAGGGAGCACAGCAAGCUCAUCUUUCCCAACCCCUUUGGCCACCUCUCUGAUAGCUUCUCUCAUAGCCGCUGGCUUCGGAAGCUGAAACAUGGACACUUUGGCUGGCCUGGCUAAAAGAUGGGUCCAUCAGGGAACUGGAACCCAGGUCCUCCUCAAGCAGGGGAUGGUCGCCCUUGCCCCACAGCAGAGUCAGGCAUUGAAGCUGACAUUAAUGUGGAACAUGGAGGGAGGGGAAGCCACCUGACACCCACCUCCCCAGAAAGUUCCAGCACAAGCACAGAAGACAAGA
RNAcentral lists this long non-coding RNA (421 nucleotides) under Rattus norvegicus (Norway rat). Its description in RNAcentral is "long non-coding RNA NONRATT030979". The record is from RNAcentral. Lineage: Eukaryota; Metazoa; Chordata; Mammalia; Rodentia; Muridae.